AGAGUUUGAUCCUGGCUCAGAAUCAACGCUGGCGGCGUGCCUCAGACAUGCAAGUCGAACGAUUAAAGCUCUCUUCGGAGAGUGUAUAGAGUGGCGCACGGGUGAGUAACACGUAAGUAAUCUACCCUCGAGUGGGGAAUAACAACCGGAAACGGUUGCUAAUACCGCAUAAUGCAGCGGCACCGCAAGGUGACAGUUGUUAAAGAUUUAUCGCUUGAGGAGGAGCUUGCGGCAGAUUAGCUAGUUGGUAGGGUAACGGCUUACCAAGGCUACGAUCUGUAACCGGUCUAAGAGGACGGUCGGUCACACUGACACUGAAUAACGGGUCAGACUCCUACGGGAGGCAGCAGUCGGGAAUUUUGGGCAAUGGGCGAAAGCCUGACCCAGCAACGCCGCGUGAAGGAUGAAGUAUUUCGGUAUGUAAACUUCGAAAGAAUAGGAAGAAUUAAUGACGGUACUAUUUAUAAGGUCCGGCUAACUACGUG
Molecule: ribosomal RNA, 485 nt
Filed under: uncultured bacterium
Lineage: Bacteria
Description: bacterial SSU rRNA
Rfam family: Bacterial small subunit ribosomal RNA
Source: RNAcentral